Molecule: long non-coding RNA, 388 nt
Filed under: Equus asinus (donkey)
Lineage: Eukaryota; Metazoa; Chordata; Mammalia; Perissodactyla; Equidae
Description: lncRNA (ENSEASG00005026443.1)
Source: RNAcentral
GUCUUCCCUGCAGGGUCUCCCUCUCGGGGAAAGGGGAACUGAAUAAUGAUUUGAAAACUUGCUCAGCAGCAUCAAGCCCACUUGACUGGGUUAGAAAGAAAAAACCAAAACAAAACAAGCGUGUUUGCACCUCCGUCUCGGGGCCGCAGGAACCUGGACUCAGGGACUAUUUAGACAACACUGAGUUGGAGCAUGGAUUGCGGCUAGCUGGACACUGGGCCCUCCGCUGGCACUGUGGUCACUGCUGGCCCCAGUGCCACCAAUGCCACAGGACACUGGAUGCCAUAGCCACCAACUCCACCAGAAGGAGUUCCGAUUAUGUUGUUCAGUCUGGAUUUAGAAGUCUCAGGAUACAAACCAGGACCAACCAGGACCAAUCAGGACCAAU